CUUUGUUCUUGCUUCAAAAUGUGAGCAGAAUUGCCAUGAGUCCCUUCACAGGAAGAAGUGUUAAAGGCUGGUAAGUGACUGACCACACUCUUUCCCUUUGAUGUGGUGACUGGAAAAGUUCAAGUUAUCUGGCAGUUGUUCAUUAGCCUGGGUCUUUGAGUGAAGAUCCAGCUGAUUCACAAUGGGCUAGUGGGGUGAGUAGGAAACUAAUCUUUGUUGUAUUUAGCUAGAUCCAGAAGUUAGCUGUCUAUGGUGACUCAUGCCUGUCAUCCCAGAGGCUCUGGAGGCUGAGGCAGGAGGAUCAGAAGUUCAAAGCCAGCCUCAGCAAUUUAGUGAGGCUAAGCAAUUCAGCGAGACCUUGUCUCUAAAUAAAAUAUUACAAAAAGGGGCUGGGGGACGUGGCUCAGUGGUUAAGCGCUCCCAGGUUCAAUACCCAGUACCAAACAAACAAAAAAACAACACACACACACACACACACACAAAAUUCAGAAGUCGUUUGUUACUGCAGCACAAGCUGUCCUGUGCAGACAGACUAGAAAUUCCUUAAGCACUUAUGCUUAACUCACCUUUCCAUCUCCUGUAGAACACAGAACAAUACUUCAUGGAUGUUCAAUAAUUAUUGCCAAUUGGUGAUAUGAACUGAGAUAAGGCAAAAUAUAUUAGACUGGAGAGUGAAACUUGUUAUCAGUAAUUCAACUUAAGACUUCAGUGUCUGAAAAACCCAAAUAUAUGUGCAAGAUGAUUCCAAUAACAUUCUUAUAUAUAUGAGGAGGCAGAAUAGUGCAAUGAAAGAAACUUGGGCUUUUGAGCCAAAUACAUCUGGGUUCAGGUACAAUCUCUUCUUCUAUGUAUGUGGCUGCAUAGCCAUGGGCAAGUUAUUGAAGAUCUUUGGGUACUAGUUUCCUCAUCUGUAACAGGGAUAAUAUCACCAACUACCACACAGAAUUAUUGUGAGAUUAAUGAGAGAAUGUAUUUAAAGUCCUUGGCAUGUCAUGAAUGGUCAACAGUUACUCUCUUAGGUCUCUUCUCACCAGAUGUGUGUGGGUUGGUGUUAACUCUUGCUUAACUCUCUGGGAACUCCUUCCUUUCAUUUACUCCCUCUGAGAUCUCCAUUACUUGCCUAGUCCCUGGAUUUAUUUAACUCAGUCUUCCUGUUCCUUAAAGUUUUGCUUUUGCUGCCUUAUGCAUAUUCUGUUCAUCCAUAACUGGCUGGAGUUGGCAGGAGCCAUU
This 1230-nucleotide long non-coding RNA is filed under the name Marmota monax (woodchuck). The record is from RNAcentral. Lineage: Eukaryota; Metazoa; Chordata; Mammalia; Rodentia; Sciuridae.